CAACCUACCUAUCAGAGGGGAAUAACCCGGCGAAAGUCGGACUAAUACCGCAUAAAACAGGGGCACCGCAUGGUGAUAUUUGUUAAAGAAAUUCGCUGAUAGAUGGGCAUGCGUUCCAUUAGGUAGUUGGUGAGGUAACGGCUCACCAAGCCGACGAUGGAUAGGGGAACUGAGAGGUUGGUCCCCCACACUGGUACUGAGACACGGACCAGACUCCUACGGGAGGCAGCAGUGAGGAAUAUUGGUCAAUGGGCGAGAGCCUGAACCAGCCAAGUCGCGUGAAGGAAGAAGGAUCUAUGGUUCGUAAACUUCUUUUGCAGGGGAAUAAAGUGCGGGACGUGUCCUGUUUUGUAUGUACCCUGAGAAUAAGGAUCGGCUAACUCCGUGCCAGCAGCCGCGGUAAUACGGAGGAUCCGAGCGUUAUCCGGAUUUAUUGGGUUUAGAGGGUGCGUAGGUGGUUUGAUAAGUCAGCGGUGAAAGUUUGCAGCUUAACUGUAAAAAUGCCGUUGGAACUGUCGGACUUGAGUGUAAAUGAGGUAGGCGGAAUGCGUGGUGUAGCGGUGAAAUGCAUAGAUAUCACGAAGAACUCCGAUUG
Molecule: ribosomal RNA, 595 nt
Filed under: uncultured Bacteroidota bacterium
Lineage: Bacteria; Pseudomonadati; Bacteroidota
Description: bacterial SSU rRNA
Rfam family: Bacterial small subunit ribosomal RNA
Source: RNAcentral